RNAcentral lists this ribosomal RNA (220 nucleotides) under Serratia sp. (in: enterobacteria). RNAcentral's name for it is "partial 16S ribosomal RNA". It matches the Rfam family "Bacterial small subunit ribosomal RNA", at positions 47 to 261 of the family's 1533-position model. Lineage: Bacteria; Pseudomonadati; Pseudomonadota; Gammaproteobacteria; Enterobacterales; Yersiniaceae. The record is from RNAcentral.
GCCUUAACACAUGCAAGUCGAGCGGUAGCACAGGGGAGCUUGCUCCCUGGGUGACGAGCGGCGGACGGGUGAGUAAUGUCUGGGAAACUGCCUGAUGGAGGGGGAUAACUACUGGAAACGGUAGCUAAUACCGCAUAACGUCGCAAGACCAAAGAGGGGGACCUUCGGGCCUCUUGCCAUCAGAUGUGCCCAGAUGGGAUUAGCUAGUAGGUGGGGUAAU